UUUCCGUAGGUGAACCUGCGGAAGGAUCAUUAUUGUAUAACCGAGGUGCGAGGGCUGUCGCUGACCCGAAAGGUCGUGCACGCCCGAGUGCCCUCACACACAUCCAUCUCACCCCUAUGUGCACCACCGCGUGGGUUCCCCUUUGGCUUGUUCGGAGGGGGGCUUACGUUUUCACACAAACUUUGUAUGCAGUGUAGAAUGUAUUUUUUGUUUUUGCGAUCACGCAAUCAAUACAACUUUCAACAACGGAUCUCUUGGCUCUCGCAUCGAUGAAGACGCAGC
RNAcentral lists this unclassified non-coding RNA (282 nucleotides) under plant metagenome. RNAcentral describes it as "partial contains small subunit ribosomal RNA, internal transcribed spacer 1, and 5.8S ribosomal RNA". The stretch from base 235 to 282 matches the Rfam family "5.8S ribosomal RNA", at positions 1 to 49 of the family's 154-position model. The record is from RNAcentral.